GACGAACGCUGGCGGCGUGCUUAACACAUGCAAGUCGAACGGAAAGGCCCUGCUUGCAGGGUACUCGAGUGGCGAACGGGUGAGUAACACGUGGGUGAUCUGCCCUGCACUUCGGGAUAAGCCUGGGAAACUGGGUCUAAUACCGGAUAGGAGCCAUUUUUAGUGUGAUGGUUGGAAAGUUUUUUCGGUGUAGGAUGAGCUCGCGGCCUAUCAGCUUGUUGGUGGGGUAAUGGCCUACCAAGGCGGCGACGGGUAGCCGGCCUGAGAGGGUGGACGGCCACAUUGGGACUGAGAUACGGCCCAGACUCCUACGGGAGGCAGAAGUGGGGAAUAUUGCACAAUGGGCGCGAGCCUGAUGCAGCGACGCCGCGUGGGGGAUGACGGCCUUCGGGUUGGAAACUCCUUUCGCUAGGGACGAAGCUUUUUGUGACGGUACCUAGAUAAGAAGCACCGGCUAACUACGUG
RNAcentral lists this ribosomal RNA (465 nucleotides) under uncultured bacterium. Its description in RNAcentral is "partial 16S ribosomal RNA". It matches the Rfam family "Bacterial small subunit ribosomal RNA", at positions 28 to 507 of the family's 1533-position model. The record is from RNAcentral.